CCUUAGAGUUUGAUCCUGGCUCAGGAUGAACGCUAGCGGCAGGCUUAACACAUGCAAGUCGAGGGGCAGCGGGGAGGAAGCUUGCUUUCUCCGCCGGCGACCGGCGCACGGGUGAGUAACACGUAUGCAACCUGCCCCUGUCAGGGGGACAACCCGCCGAAAGGCGGGCUAAACCCGCGUACAUGCCACCGGGGCAUCCCGGAGGCAGGAAAGGCUUCGGCCGGACAGGGAUGGGCAUGCGGCGCAUUAGGCAGUAGGCGGGGUAACGGCCCACCUAACCGACGAUGCGUAGGGGUUCUGAGAGGAAGGUCCCCUACACUGGAACUGAGACACGGUCCAGACUCCUACGGGAGGCAGCAGUGAGGAAUAUUGGUCAAUGGACGCAAGUCUGAACCAGCCAAGUAGCGUGCAGGAUGACGGCCCUCCGGGUUGUAAACUGCUUUUAGUUGGGAAUAAAAGGGGGCUCGUGAGCCCCGUAUUGUAUGUACCAUCAGAAAAAGGACCGGCUAAUUCCGUGCCAGCAGCCGCGGUAAUACGGAAGGUCCGGGCGUUAUCCGGAUUUAUUGGGUUUAAAGGGAGCGUAGGCCGGCUUUUAAGUCAGCUGUGAAAGUCCGCGGCUCAACCGUGGAAUUGCAGUUGAAACUGGAGGCCUUGAGUGCACACAGGGAUGCCGGAAUUCAUGGUGUAGCGGUGAAAUGCUUAGAUAUCAUGAAGAACUCCGAUCGCGAAGGCAAGUGUCCGGGGUGCAACUGACGCUGAGGCUCGAAAGUGCGGGUAUCAAACAGGAUUAGAUACCCUGGUAGUCCGCACCGUAAACGAUGAAUACUCGUGUCCCGCGAUAUAUUGUGGGACACUUAGCGAAAGCGUUAAGUAUUCCACCUGGGGAGUACGCCGACAACGGUGAAACUCAAAGGAAUUGACGGGGGCCCGCACAAGCGGAGGAACAUGUGGUUUAAUUCGAUGAUACGCGAGGAACCUUACCCGGGCUCAAACGACACAGGAAUACUUUUGAAAGGAGGUAGCCCUACGGGGUCUGUGUCGAGGUGCUGCAUGGUUGUCGUCAGCUCGUGCCGUGAGGUGUCGGCUUAAGUGCCAUAACGAGCGCAACCCCUAUCGCCAGUUACCAUCAAGUAAAGUUGGGGACUCUGGCGAGACUGCCGGCGCAAGCUGAGAGGAAGGCGGGGAUGACGUCAAAUCAGCACGGCCCUUACGUCCAGGGCUACACACGUGUUACAAUGGGGGGUACAGAAAGCAGCUACACGGCGACGUGAGGCUAAUCCCUAAAUCCUCUCUCAGUUCGGAUUGGAGUCUGCAACCCGACUCCAUGAAGCUGGAUUCGCUAGUAAUCGCGCAUCAGCCACGGCGCGGUGAGUACGUUCCCGGGCCUUGCACACACCGCCCGUCAAG
Molecule: ribosomal RNA, 1407 nt
Filed under: uncultured bacterium
Lineage: Bacteria
Description: bacterial SSU rRNA
Rfam family: Bacterial small subunit ribosomal RNA
Source: RNAcentral